CAAGUAUCGCCAAUUGAAAACAAUUGUUUUCUUAAGCAAGCAAAUAAAAAACCAUCCAAAACAAGAAUCAGCUGUUGUUCUGCAAAUUGUCACUGGAAGUCGUUCGCGUAUUUUUGCUUGCAAAUUUUUUAAUGAGAGUAAAACGGCUCCUACUCUCCUGCAAAUUUUUACUGGCAAUUUUUUACUGGAAAAGUACGCGAACAUACCUAUAGUUUCGCCAUGUACUGCUAGCAGUUUUAUUGCAGAUGCGAACGUUGCAAUGUGGAGAUAUUUUAGAUCUUGCUUUGGAAGAGAGGAAGUUUUGUACAUGGAUCCUUCUUCACGAACCAUUACUUCACGAAAAAUGAAUGCAAAUGCAAAUUUGCUUCUAUUUUUUCUCUUGUUUACAUGAAAAAGAUGAACAAAACUCAUGCCAGGAAAACAAACUAUUGACGCCGUUAUAGAAAAAUCACUAAAUGGUGGCGCCAUCAUUUCAAUAAACUACAAACACAAAACUGUACUUUUGUCCACUAUUGUUAAACAACAACCUCCCGUUGCCAAUGAUAAUAAACAAUAGUUUUACAUAUUUUAUGCCAAA
Stomoxys calcitrans (stable fly) is the source of this 577-nucleotide long non-coding RNA. RefSeq lists it as uncharacterized. The transcript has 2 exons. NCBI's taxonomy places the organism in Eukaryota, Metazoa, Arthropoda, Insecta, Diptera, Muscidae. The record is from RefSeq and is a predicted model, not a curated record.